GCUUUAAACUUGGGACUGGUAGGUGGACAGAAAGCGAUUGAUAGUUGCGCUUGACUGAGUCCCUUGUUUCCCUGUAGCCUCUUUUCGGCAUUGUUCUCGAUUUCUAUUGGACAAUAUUAAAGGCCGGUUGACGGUCGACGUCUGCUGCCAGCAGUAGCUGAACGGGAACUUCAAGAGGAUCUCUCGGACUUUUUGCAGCGAACUCAGUAAUCAGAGAAAGAGAAGUAAUGACUCUAGAGUGAGACAUUACGAUCCUGAACGAUGAGCGCAAGCGCACCGAGCCAGUGUGUGACAGAGAGGAUGGGAUCAAAGCGAAACCCAUACACAAGUUAGAAGCACAUGGGGAAGGCAAGUGGCUGACGAAAUAACUGCUGAAGAUUGACUAUACGGAUUUUUUGGUCAGUGAUGUAAUGAAGAAAUUAUGAAGACUAGGCUGGAGUGGGGCGGAUAAUCCGACCGGCGAAAAUCAUACUCUCUGUUGACUGAUCUACAAUUGCGAAGACGAAGGGACGAUCUGCUCUAAAUGCGUCGAGGCUUGAACCCAUCAAAGGCACCACUGAAAUUGCUGAAAAAUUAUCAAUAGAUGAUGAUUAACUUCUCAUAACAUUUUUACCUAAGAAACAAAUCAAUGGAUUAUCGUUUAAUUAAUUAAAUAUAUACGAGAUCGAA
This is a long non-coding RNA of Diachasmimorpha longicaudata, 669 nucleotides long. RefSeq lists it as uncharacterized. NCBI's taxonomy places the organism in Eukaryota, Metazoa, Arthropoda, Insecta, Hymenoptera, Braconidae. The transcript is spliced from 3 exons. The record is from RefSeq and is a predicted model, not a curated record.